CCUACGGGAGGCAGCAGUGGGGAAUAUUGCACAAUGGGCGCAAGCCUGAUGCAGCCAUGCAGCGUGUAUGAAGAAGGCCUUCGGGUUGUAAAGUACUUUCAGCGGGGAGGAAGGGAGUAAAGUUAAUACCUUUGCUAAUUGACGUUACCCGCAGAAGAAGCACCGGCUAACUACGUGCCAGCAGCCGCGGUAAU
RNAcentral lists this ribosomal RNA (194 nucleotides) under uncultured bacterium. Its description in RNAcentral is "partial 16S ribosomal RNA". It matches the Rfam family "Bacterial small subunit ribosomal RNA", at positions 338 to 524 of the family's 1533-position model. The record is from RNAcentral.